Unclassified non-coding RNA from Pocillopora damicornis (cauliflower coral), 2866 nucleotides. Lineage: Eukaryota; Metazoa; Cnidaria; Anthozoa; Scleractinia; Pocilloporidae. The record is from RefSeq and is a predicted model, not a curated record.
ACUCUUGAUAGGUUUUCCGCGGGGUUGGAGGAGGCCGUGGUUAUCCGGCAAAUUGAUGUCUGGUGACUCUUUCACUUCUCGAAUAGGUCGGUUUGGACGUACCUCUACUGAUGAUAUGGCAGCGUGUUUUUGUGUUUCGAUAGGAAGCUAGCCCUGUACUUAGAGUUGCGAAGGGUACCAUACCUGCCUUGGCAAAAUACCCAGGAAUGAUAAAGUUACUUCUCGGCGAAUUGAAAAAUUCAAUUUCAACAAUCAUUUAACACAUUUUUUUAUUAUUCUCUUUCGAUACAAUAUUUUGUAUUUUUUAUAUUUUCUUUUUCGCCAAUUAUUUAUAAUGUAAGGUAAACUAUUCUUUCUCAACUCUCGGAUUAUUCUCAGCUCAAAAAUUUUUCAACCAUAAGAUGAUGAUGAUGAUAAUGGUGUCUUCAUUAUCAUCGCUAUUAUCAUUAUUAUUCAUCAUUAUCACCAUUAUUAAACUUUUUAUAAUUUCUGUGUGAGUUUUCAUAAUCAUAUUGAUAUUUUGUCAGUCUCAGUUGUCAUACGUCUCAUCUCUAACUGUAUAGCCAUAAGUUACAUUUAUCUGUCAGAUGGAAGACAAACAAAGUGGCCCAACAAAUGCUGAGGUACCAAAAGAUCAACUGGAAAGCAAAGAUUCAUGUGGUGAUGAAGUACAGUCUGAUGGAGAUGGUGAAGAAAAGCCAGCAGAAGGGAAUGGCUUUGUAACACAGUUAGCAGACAGUCAGUCUUUAAGUUCAGAAGAUUCAUCCAAGAAUGAUGGUUUGAGGAGCAAAAUCCCUCGUGUCAACUGUCCAGAGCACAUUAUAUUAUGUUUGGAUGUAUCAUCAGAGAUGAAGUCAACAUCAUUUCAAAAUAAAAGUGUUUCAGAUAGGACAGCAUUUCAGCUGGUCCAAAGGGCAGGAGAAAUCUUUGUGAAGACCAAGUCAAAACUGAAUGCACAGCACAAGUUUUGUGUUGUUGGCCUGGAUGAUAUUCCAACUUUUCAGAAUGAUUUCACCAGUGAUGUGGUAAAUAUCUGCAGCAUGCUAAACCUUCUUCAUCCAGUAGAUGAACUUUCAACAGAUGGGGAAUAUGACAUGGCAAAGUUAUUUGAAGCGAUACAACAAAAUGUUACUUUACCACAUGUAGAAGACAUAUCACUGCCUCCUCCAUAUGUUGUGCGACUUAUUAUAGUGUAUGGACGAUCUUACUGCAUACCAGUCAUGUCUACAAGAGCAAAGGAGAUAUUUUCACAACUGUCUGCCUGCCCAUAUUUCUUUCUUGAUGUUCUUUAUGUUCAUGAGCUUCCAUCUGAAAUGAAUCUGUGUAAAGAAUACAAAAAGAGGAACUUAAGAUUGAAACAAUAGAUCUCUAAACAGACUGAAAUGGAGCUGGAGUAAAGUUGUUGUCACGGAGGUUGAUGAAGCAACAAGUUUAUUGCUCCACAAAGGAAAGCAGAACUUGACGCAACUGACGAGCAAUGUUUGCAGGAACACUUUGUCUUCUGUACUUACACUGUGUGGAAGCGGUUUACUUUCAUCCCGUCUCUGCAAGAAUCUACAAGUUAUUUCAUGAAAUAGUUAGUCCGCCAUUAUUAUUUUUUAUUUAUUUUUUUUUUUUAGUUGCAUUAAUUUCCGGCCGGCUCCUCUAUUGUAGUUUAUGUAUUAACCAUAGUGUGCAGUUCGCCUGGAGGCUGUUUCCAAAAAUCUUUCACACAACAAUCGUUGGUUACGCCAAAUGAUAGCUUUGUUCUGUAUUGCGUCGUUCGCGCCCUAAUGACGAUUUCGUAAAGGCCUCCAGGGGGUGCUUAAUUGCACUCAGUAGUCCUUUAAAGAGUAACAACGACAUUAAGUUACGCUGAAGGUUCUCAUGAUGAAAACUUCACUAUCUAAACAUGAAAAGAUGAUGGCCUCCAAGAGUUGGAGAAUGGCAAACGCUUCUAAUUCUCGAGAAGAGCAGAAUUUACAGAAGGAAAAGCAGCGUUUGAUGAAACAGUAUGAAGCAGAAACAUGUCAGCUUAAAGCUGCACAAAAUCGAUUUGAAAAUCAAUACAGAAAAAAAAGUACAACAGAAAAGAAGACAUCGCUUGUGUUACCACCUCUGCAGGAGAAGAACAGUCAUCCUCUCAAGGGGCAAGACGGUAGAAAAGGCUCUUGUGGGAAUUCUGUUUCUCUCCCUUCUCUACCACGCUUGGCGGACUCGUUCUCUGUAAUUGCUGCUGUUCCUAGACCAAGAUCAGUUAGUGUCAGUAGUGAAGCAGAUAGUCACUCUGCUUCAUUAAUAGUCAGUGAUUCACAUGAGGGAAUUGCUUCUACACAGCACCACCGGCGCAGUAAGUCUUAUGCUGGACUACCAAAUGUAAUAAAAUAAUCGGGCCACUUUCAUCUGUCCCAAGCUGCAUUCAUGUGUAACUAUUUGCAUUGGAAACUCAGCUAGUGAUCCUCUUUUCCACCAAGCAGAGAAGUAAAAGUUAAGAAAAUUGAGGGAUCAUGGGCAAGUUGUUGUCAUGAAGAGCCUCAGAAAUGAUGUUGUGCGCAAAAGUAUUAAGUUGAGAGUCCCGUGUAAACUGAUUGAAGAAGUAAACAACAUGACGUAUAGCCUGCGGCGAAGUUGCGUAGUCAGCAAAGAUAUUCAUGGCUAAAACUUACACACGUGUCUGAAAUUUUUUACUCCACUUAAUGAAGGUUUGGACGAGGGCUGCUCGAUUUUGCAUCAUUUUGACUGGCCAUGCGAUAGUCGAAAUUGAAAGUCACUCAUUUCGACUCAUUUCUGUCGCAAGCGAGCAAAAUGAAAUAGAAGUAAUAAGAAAAGAUAAUGAUUAUAAUAAAAAAAAUUACAAUAAUGACAAAUAAAGAUCUUGAUAAGAAAA